Molecule: ribosomal RNA, 463 nt
Filed under: Gemella morbillorum
Lineage: Bacteria; Bacillati; Bacillota; Bacilli; Caryophanales; Gemellaceae
Description: bacterial SSU rRNA
Rfam family: Bacterial small subunit ribosomal RNA
Source: RNAcentral
GACGAACGCUGGCGGCGUGCCUAAUACAUGCAAGUCGAGCGAAGUUUUUCUGGUGCUUGCACUAGAAAAACUUAGCGGCGAACGGGUGAGUAACACGUAAAGAACCUGCCUCAUAGACUGGGACAACUAUUGGAAACGAUAGCUAAUACCGGAUAACAGUAUUUCUCGCAUGGGAGAUAUUUAAAAGUUGGUUAUGCUAACACUAUGAGAUGGCUUUGCGGUGCAUUAGCUAGUUGGUGGGGUAAAGGCCUACCAAGGCGACGAUGCAUAGCCGACCUGAGAGGGUGAUCGGCCACACUGGGACUGAGACACGGCCCAGACUCCUACGGGAGGCAGCAGUAGGGAAUCUUCCGCAAUGGGCGAAAGCCUGACGGAGCAACGCCGCGUGAGUGAAGAAGGAUUUCGGUUCGUAAAGCUCUGUUGUUAGGGAAGAAUGGAUAUGUAGUAACUAUACAUAUAAGAG